UCAAAUGUUCUUCGUGAACAUGGCGGACUGCUCAGUAACACGUGGAUAACCUGCCCUUAGGAUUGGCAUAACACCGGGAAACUGGUGAUAAUACCGAAUAGACCAUUUAUGCUGGAAUGCUUUUUGGUUCAAAGGCUUCGGCUGCCUAAGGAUGGAUCUGCGGCCUAUCAGGUAGUAGUGGGUGUAAUGUACCUACUAGCCUACGACGGGUACGGGUUGUGAGAGCAAGAGCCCGGAGAUGGAUUCUGAGACAUGAAUCCAGGCCCUACGGGGCGCAGCAGGCGCGAAAACUUUACAAUGCGGGAAACCGCGAUAAGGGGACACUGAGUGCCAGCAUAUUAUGUUGGCUGUCCACAUGUAUAAAAACCAUGUGUUAGCAAGGGCCGGGCAAGACCGGUGCCAGCCGCCGCGGUAACACCGGCGGCCCGAGUGGUGAUCACUUUUAUUGGGUCUAAAGGGUCCGUAGCCGGUUUGAUCAGUCUUCUGGGAAAUCUGACAGCUCAACUGUUAGGCUUUCAGGGGAUACUGUUAGACUUGGGACCGGGAGAGGUAAGAGGUACUACAGGGGUAGGAGUGAAAUCUUGUAAUCCCUGUGGGACCACCAGUGGCGAAGGCGUCUUACCAGAACGGGUCCGACGGUGAGGGACGAAAGCUGGGGGCACGAACCGGAUUAGAUACCCGGGUAGUCCCAGCCGUAAACGAUGUUCGCUAUGUGUCAUGGACGGCGUGACCGUUCCUGGUGCCGAAGGGAAGCUGUGAAGCGAACCACCUGGGAAGUAC
This 780-nucleotide ribosomal RNA is filed under the name uncultured archaeon. Its description in RNAcentral is "bacterial SSU rRNA". It matches the Rfam family "Archaeal small subunit ribosomal RNA", at positions 58 to 838 of the family's 1478-position model. The record is from RNAcentral.